Molecule: long non-coding RNA, 277 nt
Filed under: Lupinus angustifolius (narrow-leaved blue lupine)
Lineage: Eukaryota; Viridiplantae; Streptophyta; Magnoliopsida; Fabales; Fabaceae
Description: long non-coding RNA (LANG_LNC003602)
Source: RNAcentral
UUGAGGUUUCUGAUAAUUGUAUUUGGAUAGUUGGAAAUGGAUCAAAAAUCAAUUACUGGCUUGAUAAUUGGAUUGGUUCACCUUUAGUUGAUCUCCUGAAUAUCCCUGUCCAACUCCACGGUUUUUUGUUGGCAAAGGUGGACCAGUUCAUUCAGAAUCGGAGGUGGACUAUUCCUGCUUGGUUGGCUACGGGUCAUCCUAAUAUUGUGGAUUCCAUUGUCAAAAUUCAUGUCUCUAACUAUGAUCAGGGUGACAAAUUGGUUUGGAUGCACUCUUC